ACCAUUAGAUGUAAAUCCAUGGAGUCUUCUUUUUCUAUAUAACGGUCCUAUCACUUACAAAUGAUAUCUGCCUUGUCUUUUUCUUUCCAGUUCUUACUCCUCUGAUUUUUUUCUUUAAAUUCUUCAAAACGUUGGGAAGGAUCUACGAGACAGCAGAGGGAGAUUUGAUUCCAGAAGAAGAGAAGGCAAUGCGACCCCAGAGACAAAGCCUGGAGAAGAUGCAGCCACAAGCCAAGGGAUGGAGCUGCCACAAGAAGCUGGAAGAAUCAAGGAACAUGUUCUCCCCCUAGGUCCUCUGGAAAGAACAGUCCUGCUGACACCUUGACUUGAACCUGGUAAGACUAAUUUCCUCUGUCUGGCCUCCAGAAUGGAAAAGAACACAUUUGUGUUGUUUUUAAGCCACUUAGGUCAUGGUAAGUUGUUGGAGCAGCCUUAGGAAACACAUACACCAAUGGGCUGUGUUCAAAGGGAAGCCUCAGCUGUGUGGUUACAUUCUGUAGGGCUCCCUUCCUCCCUUCCUUCCUCCGUCC
This 530-nucleotide long non-coding RNA is filed under the name Callithrix jacchus (white-tufted-ear marmoset). RNAcentral's name for it is "lncRNA (ENSCJAG00000071186.1)". The record is from RNAcentral. Lineage: Eukaryota; Metazoa; Chordata; Mammalia; Primates; Cebidae.